Molecule: small RNA, 16 nt
Filed under: Arabidopsis thaliana (thale cress)
Lineage: Eukaryota; Viridiplantae; Streptophyta; Magnoliopsida; Brassicales; Brassicaceae
Description: ATSL232420
Source: RNAcentral
AGGAGUACAAGGAAAA